CCCUUAGAUGUUCUGGGCUGCACGCGCGCUACACUGAAGCUAUCAACACGUUUUCCCUCCCUGAGAAGGGCGGGUAACCUUUUGAAUCAGCUUCGUGGUAGGGAUCGGGGCUUGCAAUUGUUCCCCGUGAACCAGGAAUUCCUAGUAGACGCGAGGCAUAAGCUCGCAUCGAUUAAGUCCCUGCCCUUUGUACACACCGCCCGUCGCUACUACCGAUUGAACGUUUUAGUGAGGCAUUUGGACCGACGCAUCUCAGUUUAACCGCUGGUUUGUGUUGGAAAGACUUCCAAACUUGAGCGUUUAGAGGAAGUAAAAGUCGUAACA
This 324-nucleotide ribosomal RNA is filed under the name uncultured eukaryote. Its description in RNAcentral is "partial 18S ribosomal RNA". It matches the Rfam family "Eukaryotic small subunit ribosomal RNA", at positions 1470 to 1796 of the family's 1831-position model. The record is from RNAcentral.